This 932-nucleotide ribosomal RNA is filed under the name Salmonella enterica subsp. enterica serovar Agama. Its description in RNAcentral is "partial 16S ribosomal RNA". It matches the Rfam family "Bacterial small subunit ribosomal RNA", at positions 108 to 1036 of the family's 1533-position model. Lineage: Bacteria; Pseudomonadati; Pseudomonadota; Gammaproteobacteria; Enterobacterales; Enterobacteriaceae. The record is from RNAcentral. RNAcentral also lists the same sequence under 2 other names.
GAGUAAUGUCUGGGAAACUGCCUGAUGGAGGGGGAUAACUACUGGAAACGGUGGCUAAUACCGCAUAACGUCGCAAGACCAAAGAGGGGGACCUUCGGGCCUCUUGCCAUCAGAUGUGCCCAGAUGGGAUUAGCUUGUUGGUGAGGUAACGGCUCACCAAGGCGACGAUCCCUAGCUGGUCUGAGAGGAUGACCAGCCACACUGGAACUGAGACACGGUCCAGACUCCUACGGGAGGCAGCAGUGGGGAAUAUUGCACAAUGGGCGCAAGCCUGAUGCAGCCAUGCCGCGUGUAUGAAGAAGGCCUUCGGGUUGUAAAGUACUUUCAGCGGGGAGGAAGGUGUUGUGGUUAAUAACCACAGCAAUUGACGUUACCCGCAGAAGAAGCACCGGCUAACUCCGUGCCAGCAGCCGCGGUAAUACGGAGGGUGCAAGCGUUAAUCGGAAUUACUGGGCGUAAAGCGCACGCAGGCGGUCUGUCAAGUCGGAUGUGAAAUCCCCGGGCUCAACCUGGGAACUGCAUUCGAAACUGGCAGGCUUGAGUCUUGUAGAGGGGGGUAGAAUUCCAGGUGUAGCGGUGAAAUGCGUAGAGAUCUGGAGGAAUACCGGUGGCGAAGGCGGCCCCCUGGACAAAGACUGACGCUCAGGUGCGAAAGCGUGGGGAGCAAACAGGAUUAGAUACCCUGGUAGUCCACGCCGUAAACGAUGUCUACUUGGAGGUUGUGCCCUUGAGGCGUGGCUUCCGGAGCUAACGCGUUAAGUAGACCGCCUGGGGAGUACGGCCGCAAGGUUAAAACUCAAAUGAAUUGACGGGGGCCCGCACAAGCGGUGGAGCAUGUGGUUUAAUUCGAUGCAACGCGAAGAACCUUACCUGGUCUUGACAUCCACGGAAGUUUUCAGAGAUGAGAAUGUGCCUUCGGGAACCGUGAGACA